GACCAGUAUGUAUGCAAGUUGCUCUGGAUAAGAGUGUCUGCUAAAUGACAAAGA
Non-coding RNA from Salmo salar (Atlantic salmon), 54 nucleotides. The record is from Rfam. Lineage: Eukaryota; Metazoa; Chordata; Actinopteri; Salmoniformes; Salmonidae.